RNAcentral lists this ribosomal RNA (253 nucleotides) under uncultured bacterium. RNAcentral's name for it is "partial 16S ribosomal RNA". It matches the Rfam family "Bacterial small subunit ribosomal RNA", at positions 524 to 776 of the family's 1533-position model. The record is from RNAcentral.
UACGUAGGGCGCAAGCGUUAUCCGGAAUUAUUGGGCGUAAAGAGCUCGUAGGCGGUUUGUCGCGUCUGCUGUGAAAAUCCAGGGCUUAACCCUGGACCUGCAGUGGGUACGGGCAGACUGGAGUGCGGUAGGGGAGAUCGGAAUUCCUGGUGUAGCGGUGAAAUGCGCAGAUAUCAGGAGGAACACCGGUGGCGAAGGCGGAUCUCUGGGCCGUAACUGACGCUGAGGAGCGAAAGCAUGGGGAGCGAACAGG